This 410-nucleotide long non-coding RNA is filed under the name Anas platyrhynchos platyrhynchos (common mallard). RNAcentral's name for it is "lncRNA (ENSAPLG00000026858.1)". The record is from RNAcentral. Lineage: Eukaryota; Metazoa; Chordata; Aves; Anseriformes; Anatidae.
UUGGAGCUCUGUGGGUGAGGAACUGAGUAUCACUUCUGCUAAAAUUCAUAGAUUUUAUUGAGAUUAGAGGAAUAGAGGAACAGUCCUUGGGUGGCGGAUGUGCUGUCUGACAUAGUUCAAAUGACAUCCUCACCCCCAUGGUGAGGAUCACAGCAGGAAUCAGGUGAUGGCAGGACAGAGAUUCCUGAAGAACCUCCCUUUGAAGGGAAAGGUGACCUCUUUUCAGCAACAUAUUAGUGGGUGUUGUGUGGACAGCUGCUGUGACUGCAAGCAUGCAUCAAAACAGUGCUGAAGCAAUCCAGGGGUGGACUGACCUGCUUUGCAGAGAAAGAAGGGGCAGAAGGCAUCUGUUUACGCUUAAUGGCCUUCUUUUUGGGUAAUAGCCCUGGGUAAAGAGAAUAAUAUUAGCU